RNAcentral lists this non-coding RNA (30 nucleotides) under Rattus norvegicus (Norway rat). The record is from RNAcentral. Lineage: Eukaryota; Metazoa; Chordata; Mammalia; Rodentia; Muridae.
UGAACAUUUGGAACCAGAGGGAGGGCUCCA